GAGACCAGCAGCGGCACCUAACUCCACCACCACCUGACACCGACAUCACCGGACCCCUCGAGCUCGCAGGGCGGUGGCGCCACGCCAAUGCCGGAUGGGCGCGGGGGACGGGAUGCAGCUCCUCUCGGCGGCGCCCACCACGGGGCCGGCACGGCCGGCGGCGGCUGCUUCGCAUCGAGCGGCGAGGAGCGGAGCAACCGAGCUGUCCUGAUUUGUGUCGGCUUGUGAAUCGUGACUGCUGAUGAUUAACUGAAACGGCGACGGCAUCGCAAGCAGAUUCGGUAGCUAUUUUAACCGAGGGGGUCCAGUGGCACCAACCCAACUACUCGUGGUACUGGGAUUGUUGCGGUGGGAGAGGAGAGGCUGACGAACAAGCAGAAGAGAUGGAAGUACAACUGGGUUUCACUCGAUAUUGCAACAGGAUCUCAUCCCGAGGCGGCAUGCUUGAGCCUGGAGCCGGCGCUCGACUUUUUUUUUUGUCGGAAGCAGCGGCUAGGCCUUGUACUCUACCAACGCCGGAUGAUGACCUCCGGAUUGUUUCAUCAAAUUAUGUGAAAGGAGGAAUCUUUGGAGAACGUGAUCCAUGACACGUCGGUCGGUGCCAGGGACGACGAGCCGGAUAUUGUGGCGAGGGUUGUGAUGACCCCCACUGAUGACAUGGCCGCCGGAGCAGACGGCGACGGCGGCGAGACGGGGACGACGAGCGGUUGGGGAAAGAGCGGGAGGAGGUGGUGGAGUGGGUGAAGGAGCUGUCGCUGUGGCUCAUGGAGCGGGAGCAGAGGCUGCAGCUCCGGCUGGUGGAGCUCGACGACGACGAGCUGUGUGAGCAGGAAGCUCAAGCGGUGCGUCGGCGUUACCGCCGUGGAGGCGCGGCUGCUUUCUCAACACAAGCUCAAGCAGAAGCCGGCCCACCUGGCCUCACAAACCAAUUGUUUUCUUUAACUUUUCAUUUGAAUUCAUUUUGAAUUAAUCCAUAAACAAGGUUCGUAUGUAUAAAUUUACUACACAAAAUAUCUUUCAUGUAUGAAUUUUGUAUGU
Long non-coding RNA from Oryza brachyantha (malo sina), 1038 nucleotides. RefSeq lists it as uncharacterized. The transcript is spliced from 4 exons. NCBI's taxonomy places the organism in Eukaryota, Viridiplantae, Streptophyta, Magnoliopsida, Poales, Poaceae. The record is from RefSeq and is a predicted model, not a curated record.